Molecule: ribosomal RNA, 426 nt
Filed under: uncultured bacterium
Lineage: Bacteria
Description: bacterial SSU rRNA
Rfam family: Bacterial small subunit ribosomal RNA
Source: RNAcentral
GUGGGGAAUCUUGCGCAAUGGGCGAAAGCCUGACGCAGCAACGCCGCGUGGGGGAUGAAGGCUCUCGGGUUGUAAACCCCUUUCAGCAGGGACGAAUCAAGACGGUACCUGCAGAAGAAGCCCCGGCUAACUACGUGCCAGCAGCCGCGGUAACACGUAGGGGGCAAGCGUUGUCCGGAUUUAUUGGGCGUAAAGAGCUCGUAGGUGGCUGAGUAAGUCGGAUGUCAAAUCCCCAGGCUCAACCUGGGAUCCCAUCCGAUACUGCUCUGGCUAGAGUCCGGUAGGGGAGCGUGGAAUUCCUGGUGUAGCGGUGAAAUGCGCAGAUAUCAGGAGGAACACCAGCGGCGAAGGCGGCGCUCUGGGCCGGUACUGACACUGAGGAGCGAAAGCGUGGGUAGCAAACAGGAUUAGAAACCCCAGUAGUCC